This 683-nucleotide ribosomal RNA is filed under the name uncultured Gammaproteobacteria bacterium. RNAcentral's name for it is "bacterial SSU rRNA". It matches the Rfam family "Bacterial small subunit ribosomal RNA", at positions 782 to 1465 of the family's 1533-position model. Lineage: Bacteria; Pseudomonadati; Pseudomonadota; Gammaproteobacteria. The record is from RNAcentral.
AUACCCUGGUAGUCCACGCCGUAAACGAUGUCUACUUGGAGGUUGUGGCCUUGAGCCGUGGCUUUCGGAGCUAACGCGUUAAGUAGACCGCCUGGGGAGUACGGUCGCAAGAUUAAAACUCAAAUGAAUUGACGGGGGCCCGCACAAGCGGUGGAGCAUGUGGUUUAAUUCGAUGCAACGCGAAGAACCUUACCUACUCUUGACAUCCAGAGAACUUUUCAGAGAUGAAUUGGUGCCUCCGGGAACUCUGAGACAGGUGCUGCAUGGCUGUCGUCAGCUCGUGUUGUGAAAUGUUGGGUUAAGUCCCGCAACGAGCGCAACCCUUAUCCUUGUUUGCCAGCGAGUAAUGUCGGGAACUCCAGGGAGACUGCCGGUGAUAAACCGGAGGAAGGUGGGGACGACGUCAAGUCAUCAUGGCCCUUACGAGUAGGGCUACACACGUGCUACAAUGGCGCAUACAGAGGGCGGCCAACUUGCGAAAGUGAGCGAAUCCCAAAAAGUGCGUCGUAGUCCGGAUUGGAGUCUGCAACUCGACUCCAUGAAGUCGGAAUCGCUGGUAAUCGUGGAUCAGAAUGCCACGGUGAAUACGUUCCCGGGCCUUGUACACACCGCCCGUCACACCAUGGGAGUGGGCUGCAAAAGAAGUAGGUAGUUUAACCUUCGGGGGGACGCUACCACUUUGU